AACCAGCACCUCAAGUGGUCAGGAUGAUUAUUGGGCCUAAAGCAUCCGUAGCCGGCUCUGUAAGUUUUCGGUUAAAUCUGUACGCUCAACGUACAGGCUGCCGGGAAUACUGCAGAGCUAGGGAGUGGGAGAGGUAGACGGUACUCGGUAGGAAGGGGUAAAAUCCUUUGAUCUAUUGAUGACCACCUGUGGCGAAGGCAGAUCACUAACACUAUGUUGACGCUGAGGGACGAAAGCGUGGGGAGCGAACAGG
This 253-nucleotide ribosomal RNA is filed under the name uncultured archaeon. Its description in RNAcentral is "partial 16S ribosomal RNA". It matches the Rfam family "Archaeal small subunit ribosomal RNA", at positions 474 to 727 of the family's 1478-position model. The record is from RNAcentral.